Triticum urartu is the source of this 3546-nucleotide long non-coding RNA. RefSeq lists it as uncharacterized. NCBI's taxonomy places the organism in Eukaryota, Viridiplantae, Streptophyta, Magnoliopsida, Poales, Poaceae. The record is from RefSeq and is a predicted model, not a curated record.
CGUUAACAUUUUCGAAAAAAAAUAUCCAUCCCCAAUUCGUGCGGGCACGCCAUCCUCCGCCGUGCCGUCCUCCCCGCACCCUGGCCUGUCUCCUCUCCGCCGCGCCCUCCUCCCCGCGUCAUCCGAGUCCUCCGGACGCGGUUCGCCGAAGGCGAGGCCCAGGCCGCCGCGCUCCUGGCCCGCGCCGGCCGGUUCGAGCGCACGCCGCCGACCGCGAACAGCUGCUCAUCACGCUCCUCUCCGCCGCGGGAAACGGCCGGGAGGAGGAGGACGCGCGGGAGGCGGGGCAGCGUCCGAUCCGGCCGAGGCUUACGGCGACACGGAUGCGGAGGCUCUGGCCGCGGUCGCUACGCUCCCUCCGUUCACUACCUUCCCGAUGGCUUUAUCUGUUCAAUUGCUUAAUUUGGUUGUCUUGUCUUACCUGAACUGCAAGGGAACCAACAUACAUGGCAUGAUGGAUGGAGAUCAGUAGAUGUUUUUUUGUUCUGUUCACAUGCUUUCUAAUAGUUUCCAUAGGAUUAUAGGCAUGAGCUUUGAGCAAUAGGCAUAAAUCUGUUGUAAUCAAUCAAAGGCAGUGAGAACGUUUACUGAAAUCUUUAGAAGUUGCGAUCCUCUGAAUUGCUUUGAUUGAACGUCCAACGAGGAUCUCAUCUUAUAGUAACUCUGAAACAUUGUAUUGGUAGUUUUUAUCUUUACACUUUUGCCUUCUGUACAUACUGGAUUGCAUUGUUUAGGACAUGACACAGCGCUGCAAGCAGCUCAUGAGAGUAGUUAGCAAACGCAAAUCAUUGUAUAUGUCACUUAUGCUUCUCUUAAUAGAAAAUAGUACUAUUUUGGAGAAGGGCAUCUGGCUGACUUUCAAUAAAACUCUUCAGGUUUUGUUUGGUGAGAUUCUCUUCAGAAAACAAGAUUUGUAUUGGUGGUAGAUCGACAGCAACUGACAGCAUCUUCGUCAUCCGCGGUGGCAGUGCCGUCCGCGCAGAAUGCCUUCUGCGUCCGCGCCUCCGCCACCGACACCGCCACGCAGCCAAUGAUGUCAGCAUGUGGUGAAAAAAGGGCCCAAGUGAAAGGUCGACCAAGCUGUAAAAAUUCAGUGAGAGGAAUUUUUGUGCUCACAGCUCACACCAUGGCGUCCGUUGCCUCUGUUCUUACUUUAUUAUUUUGUUUUUCCCUUCGUCGUUUUUUCACGUCGCCUGACAAGAACAAGAAUUGCAAAGAAGAAGUGAAAAGAAAACACAGAACAAAGGAUGAACGCCAGAGAGCACUACUAUAUAUUUUUCCCCCAAAAUAUGAUGGGCAGUGGUGUGCUUGUUUGCAUUGAUCGCAUGGUGGCCAGCACUUCACCACACAUCUGACGGCGACUGUUUUAUCCAUGAGGUGGAGGAUAAGAGAAGCGCAUCUCUGAAAUUCACAGUUUUGAACCUAAAGAGACACAUCUAGAAAAUGAUUGCACGAGUGGUUCCAGUGUCAUGUACGUCAACAUGGUUGGAGAUUUGGGAUCGGAUGCUGCGCCAAGAGCGAGGGACAGAGGUGCUGAACUAACAGCAGGGGGGAGGGUGAUUCUUCAGGUACCAACAUGGCUGUCGACUAGAGAAUUUAGUUAACCGUUUGCUUUACUUGAAGCUCCAAAUUGUAGUUAUUUUAUUUGUUCACUAAUUUGGUAUAAUCCUAAUCUAGGAGGACUAUGAUUGUAUGAUAUGAGAUCCUGACAUUUAGCAAUAAUAAAAGUCUGACACUGAAUGGUUCUUUUCGGAAGUACAGUUGUAAGAUCUAUGAUUCUAGCUUCGACCUUUAACUGGACAGUACUAAUUGGACAUAUAAUUGAUUAUUUAUGCACAACAAGAUAUUCUGUUUGUUUUGGUUUUUCAAUCAGAUUCAUCUAGCCCUUUGUUGACUUUCUAAUUGUUCCACCCUCUACCUCUGAAACUCAGAAAUCAGAGAAAGGUCAUUGGCAUAUCCCUAUCUCUGACGAAAAUUUGCUAGCGAGGAAGAGGACCAGAAUGUUUUUUCUAUUGUUGGGGAUAUACAUAAUACAUAUAGAUAAAUUUGGACCAUUUAUAACAGAGAUUUCUUGCCAAAAAUAUUAACUCUGUCCAGCAGUGGGCACUGUCAAGGUAAUAACAGGAAUUUGCUGAACCUAAUUGAAAGAAAGAGGGAUGGUAAUCCGAUCGAGAACAUUCUCUAACUAAAAUAGACUUACGAACAAUCAACAAUAUCAAAUAGUUUCAAAUUAACAAAUGUUGUUUGAUUAAAAUACUGAUUUAAGAAUUUGGCGAAUCUAUAAUUCUCUACAUAGAGCCUGUUCGGAAAUGGUCUGGCUCCUCAGAAUCCUCGACUCCGGCUCCUGCUCCCGAAAUGCUGCUCCUCGUAAAAAAUAGCGCUGAAAAAAAACUGUUCGACAGACAGCUCCGCUCCUUGAUUCACUCGUGGCGGGUGGAGGAAACAGAAACGAGCGAGUCGUGUGGCCACUCUGAACCGUUUCCCACUUGGCGGUGGCAGUUCCUUUGUAAAUUUUAUCAACUCCAUGAUAUUGAAGAUCUGAGAUCUGAGAAUUAGCCGCUCCACAAAAUUGCUCAGCAGCCCGCUUCACUCCACGUUUUCAGCUCCGUGGAGCUCAAGCGUUCGGCGCCGCUCCACCAACUCCGGGAGUGGAGUUGAGGAGCAGAGAGAAACCGAACACACCCAUAAUCACUUGGUGCAUUGUUAGACCACUUGGGGACAAUAUCAUCAAUUUCUUGCAUGCUGCAAUAAUGCAAGUUUAAAAAGCCAGUUUCUUGUGUUUCUUAUUAUCUCUGUGUUCAGCUAACUGCCAAGAAUCAUAUAAGGAUGCAUCUAAUGAGGUAGAUUUUGUUUAUGCAUUUUUUAAGUGUAGGGAUGCUGUAUCUGAUUAACAAAACAUUGUUCAACCUUCUAUGAGUCCACCUCUUCCAGAACAGGCAUCCAAGCAUUUUGGUCUGCUACCAGUAAGCUGCCAGAGCAAGAUAGCUGGGAGUCUGGGAUGUCGAGUCGUUGAGCCGUCCAAUGCUAAGUUCGCCGGCGGAAGGAGAACAUCCGUCAAGCCGUCCGUCGCCUGAGGCGGCUACGCCAGAGGUCCGUGGGUUACUACUCCUUUGCUCUUGCUGGCGACUGGCCUCCAGAGUAGCACUUGCUUGAGAUCUGAUCUAGAACUGAAUUGUGCCCUGCUUUGCUGUGGUCGUAUGCUCUGUGUCCACCGAUGAGUUUCAGAUACAGAUUAGGACCAAAAUUGGAGUAGGUUCAGUCGCGCAAAUGUUGUAUCACUUUGUCAUGGGUAUUGUGCUGUUGAAUUGCUUGUUGGACUGUUCAAACUAAAGUCGUCCAGUCAGUUUGCUACAAUGUUCAUUUGUUUACUUUGGAAGUUCUGUAGAAUUUGGGCCUGAUCACUUUCGAAUUUGUCUGUGGUUUGAGAUUAAUCUUUCUGAGAUGUUAGAGAGUGGGUCCAAGGAUGGAUCUGCCCAUCAGUGUGCAGAGGAUCUUCUAAUUCCUGCAGCUAAUCUUGAUUCAUGGAUAUUGUGUUUGCUCUGUGGC